CAGAGUUGUAGACAAUCUUUUGAAACAGUGGCUGCCCUACUUCUAAAUAAGAUAGAAACAACACAUUUUACUGUACCAGCUGGUGGAAUCCAAGAUUCACAUAUUGCUGGAAGAUUGCAAGCUAUCACCUACUGAGACGACCCUAAAGGAGUGAAUGAAAAUCACUGAGAAAGGCAAGGAUGGCAAUGGAUAGAAAUGUAUCAAAAGAAGAAGAGGAACAUAGUGCAAAAAAUGGGGAUACAAG
This is a long non-coding RNA of Amblyraja radiata (thorny skate), 244 nucleotides long. RefSeq lists it as uncharacterized. The transcript is spliced from 3 exons. The record is from RefSeq and is a predicted model, not a curated record. NCBI's taxonomy places the organism in Eukaryota, Metazoa, Chordata, Chondrichthyes, Rajiformes, Rajidae.